This 294-nucleotide ribosomal RNA is filed under the name Tarentola chazaliae (helmethead gecko). RNAcentral's name for it is "partial 12S ribosomal RNA". The record is from RNAcentral. Lineage: Eukaryota; Metazoa; Chordata; Lepidosauria; Squamata; Phyllodactylidae.
ACUUAAAACUCAAAGGACUUGACGGUGUCCCAAACCAACCUAGAGGAGCCUGUCCUAUAAUCGAUACCCCACGCUAUACCUUACCCCCCUUUGUAAGACCAGUCUGUAUACCGCCGUCUACCAGUUCGCCUUGUGACAGACCCCAUAACGAACAAACCAGCCUACCACUCAUACGACAGGUCAAGGUGCAGCCAAUAGGGGGGCAGAGAUGGGCUACAUUUUCUACCCACUAGAACAUUACCACCCGCCAAAUGAAAUAUAGGCCCAAAGGCGGAUCUAGCAGUAAGCCUGGCA